Non-coding RNA from Camelus ferus (Wild Bactrian camel), 46 nucleotides. The record is from Rfam. NCBI's taxonomy places the organism in Eukaryota, Metazoa, Chordata, Mammalia, Artiodactyla, Camelidae.
UAAAAGGCUCUUUUCAGAGCUACCUACUUAACUUACUAAAGAGCUU